UUGCUUCGACAGCACGCAUACUAAAAUUGGAACGAUACAGAGAAGAUUGGCAAGGCCUCUGCGCAAGGAUGACACGCAAAUUGGUGAAUUGUUCCAUAUUUUU
Small nuclear RNA from Trichosurus vulpecula (common brushtail), 103 nucleotides. Lineage: Eukaryota; Metazoa; Chordata; Mammalia; Diprotodontia; Phalangeridae. The record is from RefSeq and is a predicted model, not a curated record.